Non-coding RNA from Xyrichtys novacula (pearly razorfish), 5656 nucleotides. The record is from the annotation of a GenBank genome assembly. NCBI's taxonomy places the organism in Eukaryota, Metazoa, Chordata, Actinopteri, Labriformes, Labridae.
UGUGAGUGAAGAGCGGAGAAGCCGGUGUAAUUGCUCGUCUGUGUGGAUGCUCUCUUGCUAACAGCAUGCAUGUGUGUGUGUGUGUGCGUGCGUGCAGUAAUUGCAGCAGUACCUGUGCAAAAAGCUCGAGGAAAUCAGUGGAUGGAAGGCGCAGCGCAUUGAUUGCUUGACUAAUUAAUCAGCUGCAUUGGCUCCGUGUGGACGGGGGUUUAUUGAGUGGAGGCUUGGCGCGGGGCCCUUUAUGAGCCCAUAAUGAUUCCUCAGCCCGUGGAGUCGGGGCCUCAUCUGGCCUUUCACACAGCUGCAGUCACGCCGCUCAGUGUCGGGGCGAGGAGAGCGGCCGUCCCUCUGCUAAUCUCCUCCUGUCCCGAGACCGUGUGACUGCGCCGCCGCCGUCCGAUCACAGCUCGUAUUUAUGGGCUUCACUUUCUCAGCAGGGUGCCCUCUCUACACGGUCCAUCCCAGUACGGACCACAUGUGUGCGCCGACCUCUGGCUUUCACAGAGGAGCGAUGUUGACAGUUAGUGUCCCCCUGCAGGAGAGCCCACAUGAAACAGCAACCCGAGCUGAAACCAGAGAGCAGAGGCCGUGGUAGACGACCCAGACGCCCAGACAGGGCCGGACCGUCCUGCCUGACAUCAAUCCUCGCCUGCCCCCCCCCUUCGCCUAGCUCGGCCUCAGCCUCGCUCAACCCGGCCUGUCCCUAAACGGGGGGACGGCGACGAGCUCGUAAACAUGCCUAUAAAAGUCCUGUUUGUAUUGCAGCAGAAGGCGGCUCAGUCCCGGCCCACAGGAGCUCACGUGAGGCGGCGCUCGGAGAUGACCGCUAUCUUGGGGCUGCUGCAAUCUGAGUGUUGGAACAGGUGCUGCUGCUGCUGUGGGCCUGUGUUACUCAGGUUUAUCGCCCAACCACUCCUGAGAAACACGGACUUUUCUGAUCCAGAGGUUUGAUUUGGAGACGUGGAGCAGGCGCUGGUUAGAAAAUAAAACAUGGCUGUGUGUGUGUGUGUGCAUGUGCAGCAGACACUCUGAGUGUAUCAGUCCACUCUCCUCAGCUCUGUGGGGAUUUUUUAAUGGGUGGCUGCAUUAACACAGCCGGCCUCUAAUAGCCUCCUCCAAGAGUUUUUUUUUAAUCCCGACAGAGAGACAGAAACUCAUGAAAUAGAUGAUUUAACAGCGAGGAGCCUCUCCAUCACACGCAGAGCGGAGGAGAAAAAGCAGCUCCUGUUGGAGACGAAGGAAGAGCUCAGCCAACGGGGAUUGGGCAUCCGUGUAUUUAUAUCCUCCAACCAAUGAGAAAACAGGGUUCUACCAUCUGGACUUAGUAUUAGAGCAGGUAUGUGUCGGUGAGCGUAUGGAUUCAUUUGGACUAUUAAAGAUAACAUGAGGGUCUGAGGGCUGUGAGGGUCUGAGGACUGUGAGGGUCUGAGGAGGGUCUGAGGACUGUGAGGGUCUGAGGAGGGUCUGAGGACUGAGGGUCUGAGGAGGGUCUGAGGACUGUGAGGGUCUGAGGAGGGUCUGAGGACUGUGAGGGUCUGAGGAGGGUCUGAGGGCUGUGAGGGUCUGAGGAGGGUCUGAGGACUGACGCUGUGAUCCCUCACAGGAUCCAGACGUGUUCAGGUGUCAGGGUGUGAUCAGGUCCAAAGUUUGGGUCAGAGUCUCAGGGUCUCUGUCCGGUCCCUGAAAAACAGGCGGAUCUGAUCAGAAUCUCCUGAUAGUAAUACACCAAUAAUCCAUAAAAACCUGAUCCAGAUCACACUGAUCGUUUCCACUGAAUUCAUUGAUCACAUAUCGGAUAAAUCAAUCAACAAUAAGGUUAGUUCUAAUGUGACCUCAGUAAGAUAUUUAGAGAUAGUAUAAAACACUCACAUAUUUAUAUGGAUAUAAAAUACAUGUUUAUUUAAAUAUACAUGUAGGUAUAUAUAAUAAUGUAUAUAUAUAAUAUAAUUAUGUAUAUAAUAUAUAUGUAUAUGACAAACAUAUGUAUAUAUAUAAUUAAUAUAUGUAUAUAUGUUUCUAUAAAUGUAUGUAAUACACGUGUAUAUAUAAAUAUAUAUAAUACACACACAGAUACAGAGCAUAAGUGUGUGUGUGGAGAGUCUCCCUGUAGAUACAUACAGAGAUAAAGACGUGUGUGUGUGUGUGUGUGUGUGUGUGUGUGGUGUUGGUGUCCGAGCAGCUGGAUCAGGAUCAGGAUCAGGAUGUGCAGAGAUGGACGACAGAAGCUUUCAGCGUGCGAUCCUGUGAGCUGUGUGGGUAAGCUGUGUUCUUCCCUGGGGUGUGUGGCGUGGAGUGAAGGCACUAAGACCCGGCCGUUAAAGUUUACAGUGUCGUCGUAAAGAGGUCUGAGGCGGGCCAGCUCUCUAAAGAUAACGCUAAAUACACAGUGAUUACAGAGCGCGCUCACAGGAAGAGGGGCUCAUGAUGCUUUUCAGAUUGUGGAGCCUGUUAUAAAACCCACAUGAACCUGCUGUCCCACUGCUCCUUUAACCCCCCACCCCCCCAGGUUAAAAAUGCGUGUUUUCAUGGUCCAAGUUUUUCCCGCCAAACGCCGAGGCUGUAAAGACGCCGAGGCUGUAAAGACGGCGAGGCUGUAAAGACGUCGAUGCUGACGCUGCAGAAAAGUCAGAGGAGCUGUAGGGACCACAUGAGGCUCCUUCACAUCAUCCCUCAGUUUCUCCUUUGCAGCUCCCCAGUGAGCGGGGGUGGGGCGGGGUGGGGGGGUGAUAUUGUUUUUAGCGGCGGUCGGUGAGCACAUCGGGCCGUUUUUAACCACAGUCACAAGACGCCAGUAUAGGGUUAGAACAGAGAUGAGCUCCUGCUCUCAGAAUAGUCCCUGGGAGGCCAUGAGGCCCCCGCCGCUGACCCUGGCCUGCAUUCCAGUUGGCAGACACACAGUUGUUGGGUCAGACAUGGUUCCUGUGCUGGCGAGGGACGAGAUGACACGGAGGGGGGAGAGAGUGAUGCAAUGUGGCCCAUUUCACCGCCGACAACAGUGUGGCGUUCAACGCUCCCUUAUAAGGUGAGAGAGAAGAGGAUGGCGUGCUGUAAUCGUGGUUAUUCUCCUCAGUAUCUGACUUCACUUUUAUUACAUCACAACUGUCAUGGCUCCUAAAUCAUGCACCUCCUCCCUCCCUCCCUCCCUCCCUCCCUCCUCUUUCAGCCCCGCCCCCUGAAGGCCGACCAUAAAAAUAUCUCUCUGUUGCUUGCAUGAUGCAUGCCUGGAAUAGCUUCCACCGGGGAUAAAACGAACAAAUACGGCGGACAGCUCUGAUUGGACGACAGAGGGUCAGACAAAGGUGGAGGGGGUGGCGGGUGCAGCGAGAUUACAGGGGAGUAUUUCAGCCGACCUGAAACAGCUGACGGCGUCCGAUUAUGUCAGAGGAGAGGACCGUGAUCAGGAGAGCUUCAUCAUCAGAUCUGACACCGCCGCCGCCAAAGACUUCACGACAGAAAAAACAGGAAGUACACGUUUUUAAAAAGGGCGCUCCGAAAGUUUAUAAAGUACACGAAGAGGAGAGGAGGAGGAGAGAAGAAGAGAGGAGGAGAAGAAGGAGAGAGAGGAAGAGAAGACGAGGAGAGGAGGAGAGAGGAGGGGGAAGGAGGGCUGCAGCGAGUUCUGCUGAUUUGAACACACCUGUGCAGAAGGCAGGUGUGAUAAGCUCCGCCCUCUGAUUGGUCCUCUUCAUACCCGGUGCCUCAGUCAGUCCGUUUCCAUGACACCCAAGAAAACCGAAUUAUCGUCUUAUUCCGAUAAAGACCGGACAACUGAAGGUCACGUAAACACCUUAGUCCGACUAUAAUCUUCUCUCUCAUGUGACCAGCGUAGUCGGAGUAUGAAGCCACGCCCCCGUAACCCCGUAACAAACCCCCAGAGUAGAGGAGUAGCGUUGGUCUCCUCUUUAGAAAAAGUAGCGCGUCCAUCAUGUCGGACAAAAACAACGCUGUACGAUGCUCCAUCUUCUUGUUUCUCCAAAAUGCCCAGCAGCAGUUGUAGACACUUCUGACGUCUGACACCGACCUGCUGUUGUUGUUGACGGUUGGAUGGGGUCGGAAACAGAGACGCUGAAAAGACCCAUAUCGCCCCCUAGUGUUGGGGAGGAGGACACGUUCACGUCAAUAAUUCAGUUUUCUCAGCUGCAUGUAAACGAGGACGAGGAGAGAAGACUGAUUCAGAGAAAAAGACGAGUUAUGAGGUUAGUCUGAUUAAACUGAGACUGACUGUAAACACGGUCAGACUCGGUCCAGAUGGUUCAGACUCUAAAUCUCCUUCAGUUCUUCAGAGUUUUUUCAGAAACUUGAAUCUUCAAUCAGUCCUUCACUUUCUCUCUUCAGAACCGGGCCCGUCUUAGAGCGGCCCGGUUCACCCACAGCUCUCUCCCGUUGGCAGAUCUGCUCCAGGGUUUCGUGGUCGUCCUCGUCGCUCUCUCUCCUCCCACAUCGGUUAUUCCAUCCUUCGUCACUCCGUUCACAGCCGGCUCCUCUGACCUCUGCGGUACCUCCACCCGAACAUGGCGUCACACACUCUGUGUAUACGGAGCUCUGAUCCGGGUCCCCCUGUGGGAUCCGGUCUAUGGAGUGGUCUGGAAGACUCGUAUGGACUCUGUCUUUUGUUUUCAACACCCGACUCCCAGGUGGUGACAGGCCGGCGCUAAGUGCGGUAAUAGCCAAUUGAUUUUGUCCUCUUUUUUUGUUGGUGGCGAGACAUAAAUCAAAGUGUCUGUCAGGACCUGGCUGUGGAGGGGAGUGAGUGUGUGUGUGUGUGUGUGUGUGUGUGUGUGUGUGUGUGUGUGUAAUGGGGGUAGUGAAGGUUGUGUUUGGACUAGGAGAGUGUCAACAAUUAAUCCAGCCUCUGAUCUGCAGGCCGCUGCUUCCUGACCCUCCGUCACAAUCCAAUUGGGACGUGGUGGAGCUAAAACCAACACAGUGGACCUGCUGAAGUUCAGCCUGUUUCCACAGAUUUUCACUCUGUGGUUUUUAAUCUCUUCAUAAUAAAGACAGACUUUAUAUUUCAGGAGUCAGAUCUUCAUCAACCUUUGACUCUUUACAGUUCUGUGCUGCUGGAAUUGUUUGGGCGAUAAAACGAUAAUGAUAUAUAUCCAAAAUUAAUUUCCCUCAAUAUCAAUAUAAAACAUGAUCAAUAUCCUUUUCAAUAGUCGUCAUUCUGACAUGUUUUGGUCGACUAUACGAACAGCCAAUGAAAAGGGGAGUGUCUCCGGGUCUGAACCAAUCAUGUUCUGAAUUAGAACCAAGUAUCAACCAACUGCAGCGUCGUAGCAGACAGCAGCUCCACCCAACCAUAGCACUUUAACAGGUGAAGCCGACAGCACUGUUGGUGAGAAACAAAGAAAAUGAGUGCUACCCCCGACAGAAAUGACCAUGAAGGCUCAACAGAUGACCACAUCAAUGUCAACCACAACACUGGCGUUAGGAAAACGUCGGUGGUGUGGAGGUAUUUUGGUUUUUGGAGGUCGGACAUGAAGCAGAGUAAUGUGGACUGUAAAUUAUGUCGAGUACAUGUUCUCACAAAGUCGGGGAAUACCUCAAAUCUUUUUCACCACCUGAAGCAGCGCCACGCCGCAGAGCACGCGCAACGCAAAAGGUUACAAACCCCGAGAGGAGCGAGGAGCCGAAACAGACGACCAUUCAGUCGUCU